GAUGCCAGCUAGCGAUCCGCCAAAGUUCCUCCGAUGACUUGGUGGGCAGCUUCCGGGAAACCAAAGCAUUUGGGUUCCGGGGGAAGUAUGGUUGCAAAGCUGAAACUUAAAGGAAUUGACGGAAGGGCACCACCAGGAGUGGAGCCUGCGGCUUAAUUUGACUCAACACGGGAAACCUCACCAGGCCCGGACACCGGAAGGAUUGACAGAUUGAGAGCUCUUUCUUGAUUCGGUGGGUGGUGGUGCAUGGCCGUUCUUAGUUGGUGGAGCGAUUUGUCUGGUUAAUUCCGAUAACGAACGAGACUCUAGCCUACUAAAUAGACGUACUUUAUUACCGGCAUCUCAAGGCCCAU
This 353-nucleotide ribosomal RNA is filed under the name Euroleon nostras. RNAcentral describes it as "SSU rRNA". It matches the Rfam family "Eukaryotic small subunit ribosomal RNA", at positions 1038 to 1390 of the family's 1831-position model. The record is from RNAcentral. Lineage: Eukaryota; Metazoa; Arthropoda; Insecta; Neuroptera; Myrmeleontidae. RNAcentral also lists the same sequence under 2 other names.